GACGAACGCUGGCGGCGUGCUUAACACAUGCAAGUCGAACGGAAAGGCCCUGCUUUUGUGGGGUGCUCGAGUGGCGAACGGGUGAGUAACACGUGAGUAACCUGCCCUUGACUUUGGGAUAACUUCAGGAAACUGGGGCUAAUACCGGAUAGGAGCUCCUGCUGCCUGGUGGGGGUUGGAAAGGUUCGGCGGUUGGGGAUGGACUCGCGGCUUAUCAGCUUGUAGGUGGGGUAGUGGCUUACCAAGGCUUUGACGGGUAGCCGGCCGGCGAGGGUGACCGGCCACAUUGGGACUGAGAUGAGGCCCAGACUACUACGGGAGGCAGCAGUGGGGAAUAUUGCACAAUGGGCGGAAGCAUGAUGCAGCAACGCCGCGUGCGGGAUGACGGGAAUCUGGUUGUAAACCGCUUUCGCCUGUGACGAAGCGUGAGUGACGGUAAUGGGUAAAGAAGCACCGGCUAACUACGUG
This 468-nucleotide ribosomal RNA is filed under the name uncultured bacterium. RNAcentral's name for it is "partial 16S ribosomal RNA". It matches the Rfam family "Bacterial small subunit ribosomal RNA", at positions 28 to 507 of the family's 1533-position model. The record is from RNAcentral.